CCUUUGUACACACCGCCCGUCGCUACUACCGAUUGAAUGGCUCAGUGAGGCUUUCGGAUUGGCCCAGAGAGGUCGGCAACGACCACUCAGAGCCGGAAACUUGGUCAAACUUGGUCAUUUAGAGG
RNAcentral lists this ribosomal RNA (125 nucleotides) under Chaetothyriales sp. RNAcentral's name for it is "partial small subunit ribosomal RNA". It matches the Rfam family "Eukaryotic small subunit ribosomal RNA", at positions 1657 to 1779 of the family's 1831-position model. The record is from RNAcentral. Lineage: Eukaryota; Fungi; Ascomycota; Eurotiomycetes; Chaetothyriales.